RNAcentral lists this ribosomal RNA (375 nucleotides) under Triticum aestivum (bread wheat). RNAcentral describes it as "partial small subunit ribosomal RNA". Lineage: Eukaryota; Viridiplantae; Streptophyta; Magnoliopsida; Poales; Poaceae. The record is from RNAcentral.
AUGUCGGAGACCUCCGCCUGCGCGCCGGCGUCCAGGAAGGCGGCGCACAAAGCCGACGACGACGGCAAAUGCCACUGCCCGAAGAAAAAGAAGCCGAGGGAGAAGAGGGUGGUGAGGAUGCCGGCGGUGAGCGACAAGGUGGCCGAUAUACCUUCGGACAGCUACUCGUGGAGGAAGUACGGGCAGAAACCCAUCAAAGGCUCUCCACACCCAAGGGGAUACUACCGGUGCAGCAGCAUCAAGGACUGCCCGGCGAGGAAGCACGUGGAGCGGUGUCGCGGCGACGCCGGGAUGCUCAUCGUCACCUACGAGAACGACCACAACCACGCGCAGCCGCUCGACCUCGCCACGCUCACCGCCAACUCCGAAGUCUGA